This 404-nucleotide ribosomal RNA is filed under the name Actinomycetes bacterium. RNAcentral describes it as "Actinobacteria bacterium partial 16S ribosomal RNA". It matches the Rfam family "Bacterial small subunit ribosomal RNA", at positions 355 to 776 of the family's 1533-position model. The record is from RNAcentral. Lineage: Bacteria; Bacillati; Actinomycetota; Actinomycetes.
UGGGGAAUAUUGGACAAUGGGCGCAAGCCUGAUCCAGCCAUGCCGCGUGAGUGAUGAAGGCCCUAGGGUUGUAAAGCUCUUUCACCGGUGAAGAAAAUGACGGUAACCGGAGAAGAAGCCCCGGCUAACUUCGUGCCAGCAGCCGCGGUAAUACGAAGGGGGCUAGCGUUGUUCGGAUUUACUGGGCGUAAAGCGCACGUAGGCGGACUAUUAAGUCAGGGGUGAAAUCCCGGGGCUCAACCCCGGAACUGCCUUUGAUACUGGUAGUCUUGAGUUCGAGAGAGGUGAGUGGAAUUCCGAGUGUAGAGGUGAAAUUCGUAGAUAUUCGGAGGAACACCAGUGGCGAAGGCGGCUCACUGGCUCGAUACUGACGCUGAGGUGCGAAAGCGUGGGGAGCAAACAGG